Molecule: non-coding RNA, 214 nt
Organism: Zonotrichia albicollis (white-throated sparrow)
Lineage: Eukaryota; Metazoa; Chordata; Aves; Passeriformes; Passerellidae
Source: RefSeq, a predicted model, not a curated record
GGCAGCAGCCACUCGUCCGCCCUGCGCGACCUUCCUCGGGGUGGCGCGGCCGACGGGAGCCGGAAGCGGAACCGGGAAGGAGGAACAUUAAUUAAAUCUCCCAAAAGACUGUUUAGAAUACACAACUCAAGGUUGGUUACGCAGAACCUAUUCCAGAGGCUUCACAAGGAUUUGCACACUGUUCACAGCUAUACAUAUUUUCACCCUGACUGAG